AUCCACUGACUCACACCUGCCUCUCUGCUUGUCCAGAGAGGUACAGAGAAGUAAUGACUUGGACUUGAGGAAGGCCCUUGUAGGACAUGUGAAUGCCAGUGCUCAUGGAGAAAGGUGGAGGAAGAGAGCCAGAGUGCAGUUCACCUCUGGGAGAGCAGACCAGAGUGGCUUCCGUGGGCACAUGCUGGAUUGAAGUGAGAAGACGUGACUACUAAAGUUGAGGCCCCAAGUCUCAGCUUCUUCCCCCUCCAAAGCAUGAGUGGAGGAUUCACUUAAGGCCACUUUGAAGCCCAUAUUGGAGGAGCAUUACUCACUCUGAGGAUCCUGGCAUAGGCAGAUGCAUCACUUGUAUUGAAGUAUAUUAUCUGCUGUGAUAUUUAUGAUGAAAUGAGUUUGCCAGCCAUCGUCUAUCAGGUGAUUUGCUCUUGAACAAUUAACAGAGUGAAGGCUGUGUUCCAUCUCCUCACAGUCUCCCGCUGGGCAUCCUUGGGAGCACAGGAGGAGAAAGGCUUUCUUCUUGAUCCUAUUACUGCUGCCCAGCAUCAAGAAGGAUUAAUUAACCCACCAGGUUUUGCUUCAUUACGAGGAAAAAAGAAAAGCCAGUGACAGUGGAAUUCAAACAUUGAACAGGCAAAGGAAUCAGUGCUCAAGCACCUUAUGAACAUUUCGAAGACUUAGCUGGGCGGUGUGGCGCAAUGUAAAGUAGGGUGACUUGGUGCAAGUUACACACCCCUGCAGCCCUGUUUCUUCAUCCUCAGAGUUCACACUUCAAUUCUACAAAUUGAUGGCCUAUUCUGAGCUAAGCCCCGCCCACUCUGAACUAAGCCCCGCCUACUUUGAUUCCCUACUCUGAGCUAAGGAACAGUCUUUCAUCCCCAUGAAAGCUUUCUGUCUAGAAGGAACUAAAGAGCAUAAUUAUACUUAUUUUCCAGUGCUGUUGUUAGAAUUAAUUAAAUGUGGUAUAGCAUGUGAAAGUACUCUGUAACUAAACAUUGUAUAAAUGUUAAUUAUUCUCAUUUUCAUAUUUGAUAUUCAGGCAUUCAAACAAUUAUUGAGCACUUAUUAGGGCAAAGAACUAUACUUGCAGCUAACAGUUACGUGAAAGAAUUCGAAGACAUUGUUUUUGCUGUUUAGGAAGGUCCCACAUGGCAAAGCAAUUAAGACACACACAUGAAAUAAUUAAACAACAAAGUUGGGCCUAAAGAAGUUUCAUCUCACGUGCUAAUCAUGGCUGGCUGGCUAUGGCUAUCUAGAGUAUUAUGCUGAAAAUGAUUCUGAAGCUCUUUCUGGGCUCAAUUGAAAAGGAUGAUCUGGUGGAUUAGCAAUGAAUGCCAUGGGCAUAAGUUGGGCAUGUAGUGGUACGUGGACUAGUUGUUUAUAGUGCCUAAUACAAGGUAGCAAACAUAAUGAUAAAAGUAACUGUUAUUGAAAUUCAGCCAAGAUUGGUAUCAGUGUAGGCUUGUAUGACUGACAAAGAAUGUAGAGGAGCUAAAGAGUAAGCUUGACCUUGAAUUACGAGUAGGACUUCAGUGAAGAUAGGAGGCUAUUUCAGAAUGCAGGGCAUCUGGUAGGGAGUAGUGGAUGGUGGAGAGUAAGGAACUCAGUACUUGAUUCAAAGCCUGGGUCUCCCAGAAGUGAGCUGUGUGGCUUGGGCCACUUUAUCUCCUGAGGUCUCAGAGUUUUCAUGUAUAAAAUUGUAGAACUUGUCUUGAUGGUUUUGAACAUUCUUUCUAAUUCUGCACAACAGUCCAUUUGUGGGUUAGAUGAGCCUUUACCAAACUGUAUUUCAUGGAACAAUG
This 1799-nucleotide long non-coding RNA is filed under the name Homo sapiens (human). RNAcentral describes it as "HSALNT0297931". The record is from RNAcentral. Lineage: Eukaryota; Metazoa; Chordata; Mammalia; Primates; Hominidae.